Mastomys coucha (southern multimammate mouse) is the source of this 2125-nucleotide long non-coding RNA. RefSeq lists it as uncharacterized. NCBI's taxonomy places the organism in Eukaryota, Metazoa, Chordata, Mammalia, Rodentia, Muridae. The transcript is spliced from 3 exons. The record is from RefSeq and is a predicted model, not a curated record.
AUUUCUUCUUCUUGAAAAGCUGGGAUAAAGUUGACAGUCUUUAUAGAUGAAAGGAGGUGACAGUCGGGGUUAAUCCAAAUAAAUACUCACUUCUCUCAUAAAUUUUAGGCAACCUCAUCUUAACUUUUAAAAGACGGGAAGGAAAGAAGAAAAAAAAAAAACGAACAAUCCCAAAGCAUCACUUUGUACUGAGCUGCAUCCCUUUUCUCACCCUCACUAGAAUCUGCGGGAGGGGGGGGGGGCGGGGACGCUCCACUGAUAAUACCAGCUUUAACUACUGGAGUUUCCCUUUGAACAAAUAUUCAAUUUAACUGGAGUUAAUUUACCAUAAAAGACAUUCCCCUUGGCACGAAUGCACUCAUGUCCUUGAACACACCUCUUUGAAUGCCUGGACUCUUAACAGAAGCCAUUAUUUCGGGGUCUCUUUAAAAAUCCAGCGCCCAUCUCUCUGCUUCCCUCCCUUUCUCCCUCCCUCCCUCCUCACUACACCACCCCCAGCGAAAUCCUGGCACCCAGAGAGCACUCUUUUUCAGCCACAGCCCAGAAACAGCCGUUGUCCCCUGGCAAAAGAGGCCCAGUGCUGAGCCCUGGGCAAGUGUCUCCAGACAUCCCUACCUUUUCUCCCUUUUAUUAGUCUUCUUUCCCAACAGAACCCAUUUCCUUUGCCACUAAAACUAGGUUGCAUCCAAAAGUUUCUCACAAGCUUAAAAAAGAAAAAUUGACACCAUUAUACAGAAGAAUUCACAAAAGCUGCAGAGCGCCAGGGCAGAGAAGCAGCGACAGACACAGGAGUGUGAUGAGAAGAGACAAUAGACCACUGGUGGGGUUUCCUAGGCUUCGCCGAGGCACAGCCAUGGAAAGGGGCUGUUAGCCCUUCCUGCUAAAGCCUGCAACAUGCACACAAGACUGUCUGGAGAAUCUGGUGGCCUCUAGGAAGGAAAGAGAAGAGAUGAAGGAGCCUGAGGAGUCAGCUAGUCCCAAGAAGAAACUGUGCCCAGGACACACAGGACAGGACAGAUGUUUUCAAGUCACUCCAGGGACAGCGUGAGGCUCUCACUGGCCUGCCUGUGUCUCAGAAGUUGCUUUCCUGCCUCUUCCCUGUGAAUUUCCCAAACUCUCUAACCUUGACUCGUGUUCAUUCUUCUCUAUAGUGUGUGUGUAAAGAGUCCUUGAAGCAAUACUGUGAUGGGCUAAGAGUUGUGAGCCUGUGAUGGGCAAGACCCGCACUUGGUACUGCAAAGGAAAUUUCAUGGCAUUGCUCCUGAGUCUGGGAGUCACUGGUCAUCCAGCUCCCAUUUUACCCCAAGAGACAGCCUCUCCCCUAUAACUAGGAAACAGUAGAAUUUAGGAAAAUGGAUAAUUCCACAUUUAAGAGUCUUGAAAUUCUAUACUUGGCAUUUCUGAUUUCAGUUCUAAAAUUCUGUCCCUUAAUCAUAGGGAAAAUAAGAAAUGUAGUUACAACUUUUCAUUAAAAAAAAAACAUUGCAUUAAGAGAAAUGGAAAAUCAUGCCCACAUAAAACAUGUAUAAAAGUGUUCAUGAUUUGAUCAUGACUGGGGCUAUAGCUCAGUCAUGGGGUGCUCGCAUAGCAAUGGGCAGAAUCCAAGGUUUAGGCCCCAGCACUGAAAAAAGAGAAGCAGAAGGAGCAGAGGUAUUCACAGCAGAAUUUUCAAUAUAGGAAUGAAGGGGAAAGAGAUUAAAUGCCUCCUGAGGAAUGGCUAAGUGUAAAGUGGCUUAUCUAUAUAGCUGGAUACUAGUCGGCAGUAGAAAGGUUUGAAAUGAUAGAUAUGAUGGAUGAUUCUUUAGACAUCUUCCUAAGUAAUGAAGCCAAUCACAAGGAAAGGCAUAUAGUCCGUAUUUCUGGAGUGUAUUGGCAUACCAGUAUAGAGCAUGGCACAAUACUGGUUACCUGGCCUUGGAGAGAUGAACUGGGCUUUGGGAGAUGGCAGAGUGGACCAGAAGUUACUGGAGUGGUGAUUAAAAAAAAAAAUGUCCUUGAACUAACUGAAGUGAUGCUUGUUCCACUUGAUAACUGCAUUUAAAAACCACUGAAUUUUACUUCUGAAUGGGUGACUUGAAUGGUAUGUUCAUUAUAUCUCAAUAAAGCCAUGAGUAUUUUAAAGAGA